CCUAGGGGUUGGGGAAGAACAGACCAGCCCCUGCCAGGGGCAGUCACUGCUCAGGACGGGCGUUCUGGAAGGACAUGUGCCUUGGCCCUACACACGCACACCCUUUGUUCUACUCAUCUGGCUCCUGCAAACUGACCUCAAGGAGCCUUUCCUGGAUAAGGGACACUUCAUCCACCCUACAUAGCCUGCUGCUACUUCUCAGGAGACUGAGCCAGAUUCAGAUGCUAAAUAGCAAGGACCUUGUCUCACUCUUGGAGGUCCUUCCCCCACGGUCAUCUCAGAUCUGCCAGCCCUAGGUGUGCAUCCCCUGGACCUGGGAAGCCCAGUUGGAAAGCAGAGCAAGCGUGGAUGCACAGAGGUCCCUGAGAGCAGCCCUAGAGAGGGGCUCUCUCCCACAGAGCCGCAUUGCUGGUUCAGCAGGGCUAAAAGGGGCAGGAGGAAGGUCAGCGUGGGAGACGGGGCAAGGCCUGAGCUCCUGGGACUUCAUGGAACGGUGCUCUAGGGAUGGGAGCCAGGCCGGGCCACAGAGCCAGCAGCCUCAGGUGACCCCAACUGGCCCUGCCUGCCCGAGACAGGAGCCAAGGACACGCUGCACAGUCCAGCCCCAGAUGCUGAGCAAGGCCAUGGUCUCAUGGCAUCCGGUUCCUUUACACAUCACCCUCAGCCUUUAGUCUUCGUGUAAGGGAGAAGGAAAACAGUGGACAUGGAUCCCUGUUCUCCAUUAAUGGCUCACCUAGUUACCUCAGCCUGAUAGGCCAGGGGCUGGACACCACUGCAAUGCUUAAUGGAUCACCAAUACGUUAAUAAACAAUGUUUGACACAGAACGAUUCAUUCCAUAAGUAUGAAAUUUAACUUUCUAGCAGCUGUAACAAUAUUGUUGAGUGGGGGCUAUUAUAACUCUUCCGUGGGGGAGGCUGAGGCCCUGGGAAGGUAUAGCUGGACCUGGGUGAGGCAGGUUGGCAUUGGAAUCAAGAAAUUCCAGCCGCGAACCUGGGCUCACUCAGCACAACGUCUCUCUCAAAACUGGUGUAAGCAUGGGAAGUCCUCUUCCUCAGGUUGGUUUCAACAUGAUAUUCGCUUCUUUUUGUUAAUUAUAGAAAAAUUUUGGAGGUGUGAAAUAAAGGGAAAAAC
Marmota monax (woodchuck) is the source of this 1132-nucleotide long non-coding RNA. RefSeq lists it as uncharacterized. The transcript is spliced from 2 exons. Lineage: Eukaryota; Metazoa; Chordata; Mammalia; Rodentia; Sciuridae. The record is from RefSeq and is a predicted model, not a curated record.